This is a long non-coding RNA of Sapajus apella (tufted capuchin), 5506 nucleotides long. RefSeq lists it as uncharacterized. The transcript is spliced from 2 exons. The record is from RefSeq and is a predicted model, not a curated record. NCBI's taxonomy places the organism in Eukaryota, Metazoa, Chordata, Mammalia, Primates, Cebidae.
AUUCCAGCCUGGCAACAGAGUAAGACUCCGUCUCAAAAAAAGAAAUAAAAAUAAAAGAAAGCCACAGAUUGUGGUAAUCCUGUGGUAUAAAUUAGAUGAGAGCCAGUGAGAGCUUUGGUUUUGUGCUCAAUUUUUGGGUUGAGGGGAGGUUACUGGGAAGUGUGUUCUUGGCGCGAGGCCCUGGCCCAGAGGCUGGCUCGUCUGCUGUUGAGCUCCCGUCACCCCUCAGCUUGUCUGCCUCGUCACUGCUGUCGCUUCAGCUGUGCGUGCCUUUCCUGGGUACAGGCAUUAGGCUCCCUGCCACGGAAUCUGCAUACAUUAACUAUUGUCUGCUAAAAAUUGUGACUAUUUGAUUUUUUUUUUCCCUUUGAGCAUCCAUUUUGGUUUAUAAACUGAGCCAAGCUGGCAGCCAUGAAGACUGAAGAAUCCUAGUUUCUAACAAAGAAAAAUGAAACCCAGUCUCUUCUUCCCCACUUCACGUCUGUGUGCAAGUCUCAGCUUUCGGUUGGCCCACCCCGGAACAAUCUUGAAAACAAUCCAUUUUCUGUCACUCAGAGGUGCCAAGCAAAGGAAUUCACAGUGAGUGGUGUUGAGAUGCAGAAGAAUUGCUUGGGCACCAUCCUGAGUAGGUACCUUGCGUUACCUCUGCUGCAAGUCUGGGAGCCAUGAAGUCUGGAUCACAGUUCUGCAGAUAUGGAGAGCAGGGUUUCUAAGCCACCAAUGAAUGACACAUGUAGGCCAUGGAAACACAAAGGCUCCAUUUAACCUGGGGAUGACUUAGGAAUAUGGACAUCGUGCCAAGUAUACUUUGUGAACAUUUGUGUUACUUGAUCAUAAGGAUCUUUGGAGUCUUCAUAAUGUCGUCUUGUCUGUCUCUUUGCCUCAAGACAUAUUGUAUCAAAGAAAGGUAGCAUUCCUAAAGAUGUCCAGAUAGAUAUUUUAACUAAGCUUCAGUCUUAACUGGGAGCGGAAAACCAGAGUUCACGUUUGUUCUUAUCAUGACAGCUCAGAAGUAAAGCUAAAACCAGUUUCUGUUUUCUCUGUGAUCUGUGGAAAGGGAUAGUAAGUUGGUCUCUCUGCAGAGUUUAAAAGAACUUCAUCCACUUACAUUCAUCUUCCAGCUUUUUAUUUAUGGGCAAAACGAUUAUAACUCUGCUAACAACCUCACCCUAUCUGGUCCCAUGAACUUUGUGGCUGGGGAAAUGUGGGGGUAGGGGAAGCUAGUGUAGAUAUGUGGCUGGUACCAAGAACCCAAACGCAGCCCUCAAAUCUCAUGCCUUCAUUCAGUCUGUUUUUCAGCAAAUAUUUGCUGAGUCCCUGCUGUGCAAAGCACUAUGAAGGCACAAGGGAAAUAUAUAACCAAUCUAUUCCCAAGUCCUCUUCAUUUGGCCUCUUGAAUGUCUCUGAAUUCUGUCCACUCCCACAUUCUCCACCACUUCUAUCCUUCCAAGGAUAUCCUAUCCAAGUUGCCAUCGUCCUUCACCUGUCUCCAGGAGGGAGCAUGACCUUGGGUGAGGUGGCUCUUUGUCUAAGGGCCAUUCCCAGAGAGAGACCUGAUUGAGAGUUGUCAGGUACUUCAGUCUGUACUUGAGAAUCUUGGUGGCACACUGCAGCAUCUAUGAUUUAUAGAUAAAUGACAGAUAGAGAGAGAGAGAGAGAGAGAGAGAAUGAAUCAGAAAAGGUGAGACAUAAAACAACAGCUGCCAUUACUACGUAUUCUACAUUCUGCUUUUUUUGUUUUGAUUUGAUUUAUUUUCAUGGUUCUGGUGAUGCAUGUUUUGAAAAAAUCACGGUGCUGGCUGUGAUCAGUGGGGUUGGGUUACGAUGCUCUGGGAACACAAAGGUGGAGUACUCAUUUGCAAUUAGGAAACUGAAAAAGACUUCCUCAGUAAAGUGGAGAUUAGAUCUAAGGUAAAUACGAAGGAGAAUGAGCCACUCUCUUCCUGUGUAUGAGGGGCAUUGGGCAGGAGGAUGAAGAUGGUGGGGAGAAUAUCUGAAUUUUCAACAAAGGUGGAUUGCUGUGCGCUUUGCCAGAAACAAACGUAUGUGGGUGACCUAGAAAUAAAAGCACUCUGUCUUCCGGGCUAGCCUUAGGCUAGCAGCUGAAAAAUCCUCUUGCUCUUCCUUAGAAAAUAGCAGUAACAGAGGUAAGGCAUAUGUGACUAUGAAAACAAAACUAUUGUUUUCUCUUGCAUUCAUUUUAGGGAGGAGUUAAAGGAAAGGUUAGGGUAUCAUAUUAAUAGUACUUGAGUGAUUUAGAUUUCACCUAUAUGUUGAAUGAUCUUACAUAGAAUGAGGAUCAGCAUAGUUCAUUACCUCAAAAGUGAGAAAGAAGGGAAGAAGGGAGCAGAGUAGGUUCCUAAGCAUGUCAGAGGACCAGGCUGAGCCAUGCCCCCAGCACUGAGUGGGCCCAAGGCUCUGCCUUCCUUGUUUUGAUGCCUUCCUCGUUCCUUUCUGGCGGAAGCAUCCUUUAUGCUUUCGGACAUUAUCUGACAUUAGGGUUGGGGUCCUACCAGGAUGUCAGUUUUAUUUUUCUAGAUUUAGUGUGUUCACUAGCUUUUGCCGUUAUUGGUUAUUUCAGCAGGAAAAAAACAUUUAGUUCAUUAAAACAUGACUCAGCAAUUGCAAUCUGAUAGGACAUUUUCUCUAAUUUUUAUGGAGAAUUUUUUUUAACUCUUUUGUCUCCUUUUAGUUUUUGCUUUUCAGAAUUUCUUUUUUAGUUAUUGGUUACACAUGUAUUUUUGUUGUUGUUGUUCAUCCAUUUGCUCAUUUUAGAGAUGGGAUCUUGCUGUGUUUCUCAGGCUGGCCUUGAACUCCUGGACUUGAGCCAUCCUUCUGCCUCAGCCUCCCAAGUAGCUGGGAGUACAGUCAAGCAGCACUGCACCAGCUUGAAACAUGUAUUUUAGAUCUAAAUCUACAUGGUGUCUAUAAUUGUAUUUUAAAUUUCUCUUAUAAAAGAAAAUAAAUUAGCAUUGGGGGGCAAUAUUACAUCUUCUCUUUAAAAUUCAAUUGUAAUAACAUCCCCCUUUGUUACACUGUCCCCAAAUUUAAAAAACAGUUAAAAAUUCUAUGCCAUGCAGAGAUGACUAGUUUGAUAUUCAGCUCAAGUUAAGGAAAAUAUUAAGAGUUUGUUUUAAAAAUUAUUUUUAAAGUUUGGUGAUAGAAAUUUGUGAUUUAGGAACCGGAUGGUAGAAGUGGGACAGAGGAGAAUAUGUCCUGAGUUUACAUGUGAGAUUUUGGCCUCAUCUCUAAAAGGACAGGAUUGGAUUAGGCUCUUAGGGGGUAUUCCUACCCAAUUCAUUUCUGAUUUUAUAAAGUGGCCUCUUUAAAAACUGUCUUGCCAUGACUGUGCCUCAGUUCCUAGUGAGCUUUAGGUCGGCUGACUUGCUGCCAUUCCCUCCAAGUCUGCCUUCGUGUAGAUCGUAACUUGGCCUUAUAUGACAGGCAGCUCAUGCUGGGCAUGUUCCUUCGUGGCCGUUUCCUGAUCAGUAAGCUGUGACAGCGUAGCAUCCUUCGUGCUCUAGAGCAUGGGGAUCCCUUUGCCUGGGAGCGAUCUGAGGCUGCUACUUCAUGGGAUACCUACAUGCAAUACCUCCAGGAUCCCAUGUAGGCCCAAACUGCCAUCCCAAGGUAUAUUCAGUCAUCUGUCAGACCCAUUGAGAACUGCUGUUUUAGUUUGGAAAUGAAAUUUAAAAUGGAAGAAACAUAAUGUUGUUUUCUUUUCCAGUGUUAACUUCUGUCAUUUUCCUAGUGGCUACUUUAAAAAAAAAAAAUAGCAACAACAAAAACCAUGUAUACUAAGUUUUUUUUUUUAAGAGCUGAUAUUUUUAUUUCAACAAGAACUGCCCACUGCCUGCAUUUGUAACACAGAUCACUUUUACCCCACUUCACCUCUGGCCUUGGGCCAGUACCAUGAGCUACCUCAGCCCCAGGCUGCUAAGGGAAAGAACUGGGCAUUGAGGUGUGCUUGUAACAAAUUAUUCACUCAGAGAGGAUUUGCUGCUUGGUAAGGGCUUGAAAAUCUAGUGCAAAGUCUCUCAAACUGCCUGCUGGCAGGCAUGCCUCAGGGACCCCCUCAGGAAUGAGGGGAAUUGCGAGGCAGAGCAGAGUAGAGUUGGGUGGUCAAGUCCCUGCUUGAACCAGGGGAGCUGCACUUAAGGUUUUAUUUGGGAGACAGUAGUGCUGCAAGUGGAGCCACAGGGGAAGGAAGGGAGAGAGGCAAGGAAGACCAGAGAAGGAGAGGGACAUUGAUCCUUUGAGUUCCCUGGAAUAAUACAGACAGGGACAUGUUCAUUGAUGGACGGAGGUGAUGAGAGAUCGACAGUGAGGUAUCAGAGGACAGAGUACUUUAAUUGAAUCUAGAAAGAGAGAGAGUUUUCUGAGGAGUCAAGAAGGCACAGGGCAUCCCAGAACAAGAAAACGCAGCCGCGGAGAGGCAAGACACAAUACAGUACAUUUACAGAAGUGCAGAGUUUGUUCUCAAGGUCCACAUAGUAAGAGCAGGUGGGAGCCUACCAAGGUGGCGUGGCAGAAGGGGGUCAGCUCCAGAGGGCACUGCAACAUGCCCAGCAGUUUGCCUGUAUGCUAUUACAGGCACCAUUAAAAUAAUUUCAAGGUAAAUCAGCUGAAUAAUAUCAGACAGACCCUCCGUAUCUGCCUACAUUUCCCCUACCUGCUUUCAGUGCUUUAGUAGAUAGCCAUUAUUUAAGAUAUGAUUUAUAGCCAUUACUUUAAAGUCCACUGUUGGUUGCAAAGCUAUGGAUUCCUUUGCAAGGGUCAUCAUGGCAUCGCAGACUCCAAAGAGGAGGCAAUUGCUACUUUUUCCUUGUGCAAAAUUGACUUAUGGCUUGCAGGAAAGGUAGCACGGCCGCUCUGCGAGAAAGUUAGUGUCCCGGUUCUGUAGGAGUGGCACUUCUCUAUCUUGUGAAAACUAAAUUUCUAAAAGCUCCUUGGGAUGGAAAGAGUUGGUAGUGCUGAUACCGACUCACCGCCCUCUGCACUAACCACUGAGCCCAGCCUCCCACACUUUGUAGAUGGGGAAAUGAGGGUCCAGACAUGUCCGGAGGUCCUGGGCAGAGCCUGGACAAGAACCGGGCCUCUGGGAUUGUGGUCCAGGCCUCCUGACAGGGUAACACGCCACCCCCUCCCUCGAUUUCAGGAAAGCUGAAAUAAGUGUGAGGGGCUGUGUCGUGACAAUAUUGGAUAACUGACCUACUUUGUCCUCUGUGUUCUUUCCUAAACGAGGAGAGAAAAAGGGCAGCAGAAUGGGGGUCAAAAGCUGAAGGAAACAUGCCCACCAGAAUCAGAGUCGAUAGAUGUUUAAAGCUGAGAUGUGUGGGAAGAAAAGACAGGCAGAGUGCGCAGGAGUUAAAGGGUCAGAGGAGUGGGGAAAAUUGGGGUGGUAAGGGAGAGAAGUGGCAGAAAAAGGUAAAAGCUUCAAGAACAUGAGGAUAUAGGAGGUCUCGGUUACAAAAUUGGCCCAAUGAUAUUUUCUACCACAAUUUUU